Molecule: non-coding RNA, 354 nt
Organism: Pelobates cultripes (western spadefoot toad)
Lineage: Eukaryota; Metazoa; Chordata; Amphibia; Anura; Pelobatidae
Source: the annotation of a GenBank genome assembly
CAGCUGUGUAUGUGCUAAUAUAUUUAUAACAUAAACAGUCCCCAAUCUGUUUAUGAUACAGAUAUCCCCUGAAAUGUGCACACUGUUUAUUGUACAAAUACCCCCACUCUCUGUAUAAUACAGAGAGACCCUCUGCUCUGUGCAUUCUAAAGGGAAUCUCAUUGCUCUAGUUGUAUAAAACAUAUAUACCCACUACUAUGUGUACAACACAGAUACACCAUCUGCCUUCUGCAUGAUAAAUAUAUGAAUUCUCUGUGGAUCAUAUGCCACCUACGCAAUUGUGUACAGUACAUUGGUCAGUGGUUUAGGGUUCUGUGAUACAGGGGAUGUAGUUUAAAUUUCUGUGAUACAGGG